CAUGCAGGUCGAGGGGCAGCAUUUUAGUUUGCUUGCAAACUAAAGAUGGCGACCGGCNCACGGGCUGAGUAACACGCUAUCCAACCUGCCGAUAACUCGGGGAUAGCCUUUCGAAAGAAAGAUUAAUAUCCGAUAGUAUAUUAAAACCGCAUGGUUUUACUAUUAAAGAAUUUCGGUUAUCGAUGGGGAUGCGUUCCAUUAGUUUGUUGGCGGGGUAACGGCCCACCAAGACUACGAUGGAUAGGGGUUCUGAGAGGAAGGUCCCCCACAUUGGAACUGAGACACGGUCCAAACUCAUACGGGAGGCAGCAGUGAGGAAUAUUGGUCAAUGGACGAGAGUCUGAACCAGCCAAGUAGCGUGAAGGAUGACUGCCCCUAUGGGUUGUAAACUUCUUUUAUAUGGGAAUAAAGUAUUCCACGUGUGGGGAUUUUGUAUGUACCAUAUGAAUAAGGAUCGGCUAACUCCGUGCCAGCAGCCCGCGGUAAUACGGAGGAUCCGAGCGUUAUCCNGGAUUUAAUGGGUUUAAAGGGAGCGUAGGUGGAUUGUUAAGUCAGUUGUGAAAGUUUGCGGCUCAACCGUAAAAUUGCAGUUGAAACUGGCAGUCUUGAGUACAGUAGAGGUGGGCGGAAUUCGUGGUGUAGCGGUGAAAUGCUUAGAUAUCACGAAGAACUCCGAUUGCGAAGGCAGCUCACUAGACUGCAACUGACACUGAUGCUCGAAAGUGUGGGUAUCAAACAGGAUUAGAUACCCUGGUAGUCCACACAGUAAACGAUGAAUACUCGCUGUUUGCGAUAUACAGUAAGCGGCCAAGCGAAAGCAUUAAGUAUUCCACCUGGGGAGUACGCCGGCAACGGUGAAACUCAAAGGAAUUGACGGGGGCCCGCACAAGCGGAGGAACAUGUGGUUUUAAUUCGAUGAUACGCGAGGAACCUUACCCGGGCUUAAAUUGCAUUUGAAUAAUCUGGAAACAGGUUAGCCGCAAGGCAAAUGUGAAGGUGCUGCAUGGUUGUCGUCACCUCGUGCCGUGAGGUGGCGGCUUAAGUGCCAUAACGAGCGCAACCCUUAUCUUUAGUUACUAACAGGUCAUGCUGAGGACUCUAGAGAGACUGCCGUCGUAAGAUGUGAGGAAGGUGGGGAUGACGUCAAAUCAGCACGGCCCUUACGUCCGGGGCUACACACGUGUUACAAUGGGGGGUACAGAAGGCAGCUACCUGGCGACAGGAUGCUAAUCCCAAAAACCUCUCUCAGUUCGGAUCGAAGUCUGCAACCCGACUUCGUGAAGCUGGAUUCGCUAGUAAUCGCGCAUCAGCCAUGGCGCGGUGAAUACGUUCCCGGGCCUUGUUCUAAANGGCCCGUCAAGCCAUGAAAGCCGGGGGUACCUGAAGUACGUACCGCAA
This 1398-nucleotide ribosomal RNA is filed under the name bacterium NLAE-zl-C205. RNAcentral's name for it is "16S ribosomal RNA". It matches the Rfam family "Bacterial small subunit ribosomal RNA". The record is from RNAcentral.